GCCUUAAUUGUUGAAAAAGUUGAAGCGAGACUCAAAUGGAACCUUAAGUUACUUUAUUGAUAUACAUUCCAGAUUUCAUUUGGAAUUGUUUUGUGCAUUUUAUUAUAGCAUUUUUCUUUUAUUAAUCCGCCUUCAAAAUAUAAUUGGGUUUUAUGAUUGACAACAUCAACUCUUCCCCGUCAUCCACCUAUCAUAUAGAGACCACGACCAGCUAGUGUAGCAAACACUGAUGUGUUUGACAGGAGCAAAGGUGAAUCACUCUCUUCAUGACUUUGAUUAAAAGGCCCCAGAUGGAAGAAAGAGCAACCGAUCUCACAAACACACACGAUGUCAGUCAAGAAAACAAUGAAAGUUCAAGAGCUUGACUGAGGCCUGACCAUCAGAUUUCUCGGAAUAAAGGCAGAGUUAUUGCCCAAUAUUAAAAUUUGCUUCAAAUAACAUGGUGUUAUUUUUGCGUUCUAUGGUUUCUACUUUCUACACAGACAUUACAACACUAAUUUACAUUCUGUGCAUGCUGACAUAACCUGAAAAAAAAAACCAAUGCGGUUGAGCCAUUUCCUUCGUUCCUUUUUUUGAAAACUAAAAUUGGUACUAAUAAGACGGGUCCUUGCUGCUCUUUGCCACAACAAAUAAGCAGCAGGUUCAGUCUCCGGUUGAGUAGUUCAAGGUUAUUUGUGAACUUGAUUUUUAGAAAGCUAAAGGCCUUUGUUAGGUCAGCAAGGAACAAUAUAUCAGCAAACAUUUUAGGAAGGGAAAAUGCAAUGAAGGAAAUGGCUCAACCACAUUGCAGCACUUUUUUUCAUGUUAGUAACAUGCAAAAGGAUGGAAUAUUCCCUUUACGUAAAACAGCAUCAACAUACAGUGUGUUGGAUGGAGUUUAGACUGCAGAACUAAUAUCUGUUACAAAUGCUUUAACAACAUUUGUUUAUUGUUUACUUUGUGUUGUUGCUUCAUGCACACAUGUCUCAAGUUU
Molecule: long non-coding RNA, 973 nt
Organism: Puntigrus tetrazona (Sumatra barb)
Lineage: Eukaryota; Metazoa; Chordata; Actinopteri; Cypriniformes; Cyprinidae
Exons: 3
Source: RefSeq, a predicted model, not a curated record